Bradysia coprophila is the source of this 210-nucleotide long non-coding RNA. The record is from RefSeq and is a predicted model, not a curated record. Lineage: Eukaryota; Metazoa; Arthropoda; Insecta; Diptera; Sciaridae.
AAUGGACUCAAAUUAACGACAGGAGUCACCGACAAAAUAAAACCGUCGAGUGAGCCAUGCUCCGAUCAAUCAAACUAAAAUUAACCUCACGAUCCACAAGAAACUUUCGAAAUGCCCAAGCCGAAGGGAACAUCAAAAUCCUCGUCUAUAUCGGAUAAGAAAUCGACUUCGAAAGGAAAAUCACCAUCGAAAAAAGGUAGAAAAGGGAAA